UGGGGAAUAUUGCACAAUGGGCGCAAGCCUGAUGCAGCCAUGCCGCGUGUAUGAAGAAGGCCUUCGGGUUGUAAAGUACUUUCAGCAGUGAGGAAGGGGGUGUCGUUAAUAGCGGCAUUUCUUGACGUUAGCUGCAGAAGAAGCACCGGCUAACUCCGUGCCAGCAGCCGCGGUAAUACGGAGGGUGCGAGCGUUAAUCGGAAUUACUGGGCGUAAAGCGCAUGCAGGUGGUUUGUUAAGUCAGAUGUGAAAGCCCGGGGCUCAACCUCGGAACUGCAUUUGAAACUGGCAAACUAGAGUACUGUAGAGGGGGGUAGAAUUUCAGGUGUAGCGGUGAAAUGCGUAGAGAUCUGAAGGAAUACCAGUGGCGAAGGCGGCCCCCUGGACAGAUACUGACACUCAGAUGCGAAAGCGUGGGGAGCAAACAGG
Molecule: ribosomal RNA, 429 nt
Filed under: uncultured bacterium
Lineage: Bacteria
Description: bacterial SSU rRNA
Rfam family: Bacterial small subunit ribosomal RNA
Source: RNAcentral